This 368-nucleotide transfer-messenger RNA is filed under the name Nocardiopsis ansamitocini. It matches the Rfam family "transfer-messenger RNA". Rfam says of the family: Bacterial tmRNA, also known as 10Sa RNA or SsrA, is named for its dual tRNA and mRNA-like properties. The record is from RNAcentral. Lineage: Bacteria; Bacillati; Actinomycetota; Actinomycetes; Streptosporangiales; Nocardiopsidaceae.
GGGGGUGAUCGGUUUCGACUUCGGUGAAUGUUGUAGGGGAAGCGGGCCGAGGACCGCGAACGCAACCUCGUUAACACUGCGAUCGCAAACCAACAAGUGCCAAUUCCAAGCGCACUGAGUUCACUCUCGCUGCCUAAGCGAUUGUGACUCUGUCGGCCUGAGGGCGUCUCCGCUUCAGGGUCCGGCAUCGUUAGGAGACUCACCGGUCAGAUCAGGCCACGGGGCCUGACCGGGACAUUUUCGUGGCUGGGCCUGUCAGCGACUCGUCUGCGAGAGCGCUGGGGCCAAGUAGAACGUCAAGCAGACUGCGCCCGGAGAAGCCCUAUCUCAGCACUGAAGGACGCGGGUUCGAUUCCCGCCACCUCCAC